Molecule: ribosomal RNA, 467 nt
Filed under: uncultured bacterium
Lineage: Bacteria
Description: partial 16S ribosomal RNA
Rfam family: Bacterial small subunit ribosomal RNA
Source: RNAcentral
GACGAACGCUGGCGGCGUGCUUAACACAUGCAAGUCGAACGGAAAGGCCCUGCUUUUGUGGGGUGCUCGAGUGGCGAACGGGUGAGUAACACGUGAGUAACCUGCCCUUGACUUUGGGAUAACUUCAGGAAACUGGGGCUAAUACCGGAUAGGAGCUCCUGCUGCAUGGUGGGGGUUGGAAAGUUUCGGCGGUUGGGGAUGGACUCGCGGCUUAUCAGCUUGUUGGUGGGGUAGUGGCUUACCAAGGCUUUGACGGGUAGCCGGCCUGAGAGGGUGACCGGCCACAUUGGGACUGAGAUAUGGCCCAGACUCCUACGGGAGGCAGCAGUGGGGAAUAUUGCACAAUGGGCGGAAGCCUGAUGCAGCAACGCCGCGUGCGGGAUGACGGCCUUCGGGUUGUAAACCGCUUUCGCCUGUGACGAAGCGUGAGUGACGGUAAUGGGUAAAGAAGCACCGGCUAACUACGU